Gallus gallus (chicken) is the source of this 1611-nucleotide long non-coding RNA. Lineage: Eukaryota; Metazoa; Chordata; Aves; Galliformes; Phasianidae. The record is from Ensembl.
AUCUCUAUCUGGAGAUCACUCUUCUUGUAGCCCUUCUGCGAGCCCAGGACACAGAAAGAUGAAAAACAGGCUCUCUCCCACGCUAAGUGUUUUAAGCUAAGGUGACGAGCCCAGUGAACAAUUAAGCCCUUCAUUCUCUGAGCUGGAACAGGAAGGCUAGGCAGAUAACACCCUGCCAGCUACUUGCUGUGACCUUUUCCAUCCUCGUCUGACUCACACAUCCUGGAUCAUCUCGACACUGCUCCUGAAAGUGCAGAUAUUCUUGCAUGCUAUCUGCAGAGUGCUUUGUGUCUGCCAGACUGAGUGCUUCUUAAUUCCUGUGGUGUGGGGAGAUCAACGUGCUCUAUAAAUGUGCUGCUGCGCAUCACUUGUAGCUGAUGGAAUAUAUGAGGAAUUUGUGGUCCAUUUGCUGUGAGGAUAGAUGGCUCACAGGGAGCACGUGACACGAAAUCCACAAUCCCCAAGGGUUGGGGAAAUGUGGAUUUAGACUCUGAAGGUUGAGUUUAUGUUUGGUAAGUAAAACCCUCAUAUUAGAGUGGCUUUAUCUGCUAUAACAGAAUAGCUGAAGAAGGGAAUGGAAAACAAAAAUGAACAUUGAUUGGCUACUUGCUUGCUAAAGAUUGUAUCUCUUCUUUUCGGUCCAUGAACUAAUUCUUCAUCCACAUCUGGCUGGCUGGGGAUGAGCAGUGUCAAGCUCUGCGUUGCCAUGUCAAGUGUGAGCAGGCAGUGCAUGGUAAACAGGCACAGUUGUGUCAGUGUGGUGGUGCACAGCUUCCUGCUGCUGAGGAGGGAAUGUGUAGUGCUCCCUUGAAUGAGAAAUGUUCACUGCGAGAAGAACAAGAAACCUGAACUUUUAGAAGUUGCACAAAUCACAAUAAGCAGACAGUGGCUAAUUCUUUCUGAAAGGGGAUUUUAAUUAGUCACAGAUUUCCUCCCAUAUGAAAGGAAGAAUUCUUUAUUUCCUGUAAAUGAUAGCCCGCAUGGUGACAGGUCACCAUACACCAGGGACAUCAGGAAGGCACACUGUGUCCAGUGAGUGGCACACAUGUGGUCCACGGGCACCAGCAGAAGGCUUUACCUAUGAGAAGGACUCAGAGAGCACCCCAACAUGGAAUUAAAUUACAACAGAAUCAACUUACAGCUGCCAGGCUACAAGGAGCAGCAUGAAGCUCCAGGAGGAGGUGGAGUUUUGGUGGCAAUCAGCUGCAGUUUGCCUCUGGCUCUCCAACCCAUUUGGUAGACCCCUGGGAGUAGAUGGCCAGCCCCAGGACAAUGGCAGCCCUUCAUUUGGCACAUGGCUCUUGAUGUGCUCCACUGUAUCUUCCAAUGCAGCUCAUGGUGAACUAUAGUUGCUUGCAGAAAGGAGCCCAGAAAUGAUUAAUAGAAAACAUUCUGCCUGCCUUGAUUCUGCAUUUGCUCCUUUCCCAUUGUAUUGCCACUUGCUGGUCUGGUCAAUGCAGCUCUGCCAAGUUUCAGCUCACACCAGUAGCAUUUUCAUUCUCCCUUCACGGUCUGUGCAUUUUAUGAUUAAAACACUAAUACCUCUAUCUUUCCUCCACAAAAUGGUGUGCUUCCACAUUAAAGUUAUACUGUAGUUUUUAGUUCUAAUGC